GCUGUUAUUGUGUCGCGUCGGACAACAUUUUCGCUUUCAGUUACGAAUUUGUCGCUGGAAGACUGUCAAGGAGGGAAGAGAUCAGAGCUCAUGAAGAAAAGUUGCACACAAGACCUGGAACCUCUGCUUAACAGCAAGAUGGGCCUUCAGGCGUUCUACUGGUUCCUCCGUUCAGACAGGAGAAUCUGGAGUUUUGUUUGGCAUGUGAAGAUUACAAGAACUCCUCAGGAUCUAAACUGACAGCAAAAGCCCAAAGCAUCUACAACCAGUUCAUCAACCCUGAUGCACCUCAUGAGGUGAAUUUGAGACCCGUGAAGCAUUAAUGAUGUGAUGAAUGAACCUACGACAGACACAUUUGAUGAAGCUCAGCACCGGAUCUUCUCUCUCAUGGCUAAAGAUUCAUUCCCACAUUUUCUGCAUUCUUCAUAUAGUCAACAGUCACUCAAAGGUCUGCGAGACACAGCCUGCUAUUGAACCUGUUGGUUCGUAGACUAGUUAAACAGCCAGUUGACAUGCAUGAACCACUGUCAGGUAGGAUGUAGUUGCAUUUAUGUACAUUAAGAACGUGUUAGGUACAGAAUAGCGUAGUCCAGUGUCAGAAAUUAAUUAAUAGAAAUAAAAUUCAAAAUGUAGGGGCAAAAAAUGCCCUCAUAAUAUAUGCCCUCUUAACAAAAUAUGAGUUGAUGCUGAUUUACAUUAACCCCUUAUACUCUGGUGCAUUUUUGGGCUGCCGCCUGCAAUUUUUCACACUCGAAUUUAAAAGCUCACCAUUCACACACACACUGUGGACUAAUUGCAAAAAAAUUUGUCUAAUUUUUCAGAGAACCCCCCAAAUAAUAAUAAAAAAAUACUCUAAUUAUUCAUAAGUAACACUGAAUGUUUAGACUCUUAUGAUAAACAGAUUUUGUCGUUGUCGUCCUAACUUUGUAAACAUGUAAUUCUGGUUCUGUUCAGUCUACAUCACUUUAAAAAGUCUCACUUUAUUCCACUAUGUGGCAGUAAUCACAUUCCAUCACAAUAUACAGAUCUGAAAUGUAGGUGGCGCUUUAAUGUAUUUUAGCCCUCACAGAUGUGUUCGUCCAUAGACAUUCAGUGUAAUUUUCAGUUCAAGCACCACCCUCAUUGUUUCAUUGAAUAUCUCGGCCUCUGAGUGGACUAGAAGCUCAAUCUAGUAACUCAUUAGAAAGCUGAGAUCCUCCCCUUAGCGAUGAUAUAUCAUUUUAUCUUCAAUAGUUGAAAACAUAUUUUAUGAUUAUUUGUUUUGCAUGCUUUUCCUUCUGAAUGGCAUAUUUUGUUCUUGACAUAUAAGAUAUAUCAUUAGAUUAUUCACACAAGCAAGCUCACAGACAAGUAAAAAAUGGCUCAUCUUUUUUUUUUUUUUUUUUUUAAGAGAACUUCCACAGGUAAAAGCAGAUAUAAAAUGUUUGGCUACUUGUAGCUUACAGCAGCAGUUAUCGGAGCAUUAAAGAGACGUUUGUAUUUGAUGACUUACAGAAAUCAUAUUUCACUUUGUGAUUAUUUUGAAAAUCUUUUGAACUGUGGUGUUUAGGGCAACAAAAUAAACUGUACAGUCACAUUCCUGAGAAUGAGAGCUUUCAUUUGAUAUAUGACUUGUCCAUUUAUGUGCUAUCUGAGGGAUUUUUAUAUAAAUAUUUCUACCCUAUGACCUCUAGGGGGCGCUACUUUUCAAUGCAAAUGAUUUGAGGCCGUAUUUUGUUAUUUUAAAAACAUAAAUGCAGAAGUGAUGGUUAUCUAUGAAAAGUUCAGAUUCUAAGCCUUCAAAUGAUACCUCAUAUACCUAACUUAUGGAUACGGAGACUUUAACGUUUCAAGCGUAAACUUUUUUCGCAAUAUAGUGCCCCCCCUUUGGCCCACCAGCGGGUCCAAUAGAGUUUACAAACUUACUGAAGUUGGAAUUUACAUUAACUAAUUAAAGGUGCUGUAAACUAUUUUUUUUAUAGAAUGGUAUGCAUAAAGUGUUCCUUUUUCCUUAAAGACAUCACUUAAAUAAAUCCCUCACCGGUCUCUAACAGCACUAGACUGUGUAAACAGCAAACAAAAUGUGACCACAGUGAUUUUCAAUGCCAAUCAGAAGAAUUUGAUGUGCUUUUUGUCCGUCAAUCAUUUUGCGUUUUCUCAAAGUGUAGCUGUUGAAGCAGUUCAUUCAGGUUUAAUGUCAUAUUUAGAUUCAUAACAGUUGUCAGCUGAUGGCACUAUUUAUCUCCUGAUGUUUGACAACCGUUGAGAAGACAGAGCUAGAAAGACUUUGGAGAAGGUGACGGUCUCAACUCUAUCUUUGUAGGGUGGGGUUUUGGAAAUAGGGGGCGUGUCUAUUUUAAUGGCUCAGUCUGGUGGAAGUUCCAGAACAGCUAAAAUGGCUUACAGAACCUUUAAGCCAGAGACUAUUUAGCAGAGAUGGGCAACUUCUAUAAAAUGAAUGGGAGAAAUUGGAACACCUGUAGAAGGGAACGGAUGUAGAAAGGAAGUCCCGCCUUACAGGUAAAAGAGCCAAUCACCUUCUGAAUUUAAAUGUGUUUUGAUCAUAAUCUUGACCCACCGUUUUGAAGAUUUCGAUGUUCCCCCAUUCAACUAGAUAGGAGUUGCACUGUUAUGAUUGGAAAUAGCUUCCCGGGAGCGUUCCAAAGAUGGCCGCCAGUGU
Myxocyprinus asiaticus (Chinese sucker) is the source of this 2659-nucleotide long non-coding RNA. RefSeq lists it as uncharacterized. Lineage: Eukaryota; Metazoa; Chordata; Actinopteri; Cypriniformes; Catostomidae. The record is from RefSeq and is a predicted model, not a curated record. The transcript has 4 exons.